CGUGCAAAGGUAGCGUAAUCACUUGUCCUUUAAAUGGGACCAGUAUGAACGGCUAAAUGAGGAUAAGUCUGUCUCCUUUAACAAAUCAGUGAAACUGAUCUACCAGUACAAAAGCUGGUAUAGCCCCAUAAGACGAGAAGACCCUGUGGAGCUUUAAAUUUAAGCCAAGCAACUAAAGCACAAGUUAGCCAAUGGUUAAAAAUUUUAAGUUGGGGCGACUUCGGAAAAAAACCAAACUUCCGAGCAUUAGACCACGUCUCACCAAGACCAACAAGUCAAGGCUAAAACUGACCCAGUACCACUGACAACCGAACCAAGUUACCCCAGGGAUAACAGCGCAAUCUUCUUCAAGAGUCCCUAUCGACAAGAAGGUUUACGACCUCGAUGUUGGAUCAGGACACCCAAAUGGUGCAGCCGCUAUUAAA
RNAcentral lists this ribosomal RNA (425 nucleotides) under Sceloporus olivaceus. RNAcentral's name for it is "partial 16S ribosomal RNA". It matches the Rfam family "Bacterial large subunit ribosomal RNA", at positions 1947 to 2569 of the family's 2925-position model. Lineage: Eukaryota; Metazoa; Chordata; Lepidosauria; Squamata; Phrynosomatidae. The record is from RNAcentral.